Molecule: long non-coding RNA, 769 nt
Filed under: Triticum aestivum (bread wheat)
Lineage: Eukaryota; Viridiplantae; Streptophyta; Magnoliopsida; Poales; Poaceae
Description: long non-coding RNA (TAES_LNC021841)
Source: RNAcentral
GAGACGGCUGGCUAGGAUCAAGCAGCAGCAAUGCAAGUGUCCCUCGCAGGUCAUGUUUAACACUGAAGCAAAACAAAUUUGCAUUGGUGUAAAACUACAACUAUUAGCUCUUUCACCUUGUCAGACAGUCCCUUCAAUCCAAGAAUAUACAACAUCUAGAAGAAAUAAAACCAAUGACAUAAUUAGUAAACAAUUUCAGCGACAAAAGGAUAAACAAAUUGGAUUUUUAAAACAAAACCUGCACCUGCACAAGUAUAUGUUAUAUUAACAAAAGUGCAGAUCCCGUCCCACUCUUCACUUUUUGACAAAAAACUUCCGAAUAGCAAUCUUGGUGAGUGAUCUCGACCGGGUUCGAUCGGCAUGGCGUGUCGUUCCUCCAGGAGUGGGUGCUGAGAGGAAGGAUGGCAAACCUCCAUUGUCAAUCGGCCGGAGCUGCAUCGUCAUUUGGAUCAGAGCAUGGACGAAAUCGAGAUGGUAGAGGUUGAGGAAUUUGUAGGACGUGAGGGUUUAGAGUGGGCAUCACGAGAACUUACCCAUAUCUUGGGAGACGGCAGACCCGAGGUGCAGUCGUGUUCGUGCUUCAGGGGCUGCCACGUGCUGUCCUCGCCGCCAUCGCCUGUCGAUGCCACUUCAGCGCCACGAGCAUGGGACUGAGGGACGAAGGGAAGAGAAGGGAAGGAAGCGAGCUAAUGACGUACCUAUGUUUGGUAUGUAAUACCCUCCAUUAAGAGUAGAUAUUUUCUUAAAAUCGGUUAUUUUGUUUCCUAAU